CACAUCCCAUCCGCAUGGGUCGCGGUGCUGGUCCUACGCACACACCUUGUCAUGCGCAGGUAGGCCAAUCCGCUCAUGUCACAUCGCACAUGAACAGAGCCAGGUGCUACGCAUUGUGUGUGCACCAUCAGCGCAGUAGGCUUACAUCGAUAGACUUGUGCGCCUGGGGCCUAUGCGCAGCGCCCUGUGCAUUGCAGGUCUUGUGCAUGUGCAGGCUAGAUCAUGUGUGUGGUAGGGU
This 238-nucleotide long non-coding RNA is filed under the name Carica papaya (papaya). RNAcentral describes it as "long non-coding RNA (CPAP_LNC014471)". The record is from RNAcentral. Lineage: Eukaryota; Viridiplantae; Streptophyta; Magnoliopsida; Brassicales; Caricaceae.